ACGAACGCUGGCGGCGUGCUUAACACAUGCCAGUCGAACGGAAAGGCCCUGCUUUUGUGGGGUGCUCGAGUAGCGAACGGGUGAGUAACACGUGAGUAACCUGCCCUUGACUUUGGGAUAACUUCAGGAAACUGGGGCUAAUACCGGAUAGGAGCUCCUGCUGCAUGGUGGGGGUUGGAAAGUUUCGGCGGUUGGGGAUGGACUCGCGGCUUAUCAGCUUGUUGGUGGGGUAGUGGCUUACCAAGGCUUUGACGGGUAGCCGGCCUGAGAGGGUGACCGGCCACAUUGGGACUGAGAUACGGCCCAGACUCCUACGGGAGGCAGCAGUGGGCAAUAUUGCACAAUGGGCGGAAGCCUGAUGCAGCAACGCCGCGUGCGGGAUGACGGCCUUCGGGUUGUAAACCGCUUUCGCCUGUGACGAAGCGUGAGUGACGGUAAUGGGUAAAGAAGCACCGGCUAACUACGUG
RNAcentral lists this ribosomal RNA (467 nucleotides) under uncultured bacterium. RNAcentral's name for it is "partial 16S ribosomal RNA". It matches the Rfam family "Bacterial small subunit ribosomal RNA", at positions 29 to 507 of the family's 1533-position model. The record is from RNAcentral.